UGGCUCAGAACGAACGCUGGCGGCGCGCCUAACACAUGCAAGUCGCACGAGAAAGUGGAGCAAUCCAUGAGUACAGUGGCGCACGGGUGAGUAACACGUGGAUCAUCUACCUCUUAGUGGGGAAUAACCCUGGGAAACCGGGGCUAAUACCGCAUAAGCUCGAGAGAGGAAAGCAGCAAUGCGCUGAGAGAGGAGUCCGCGGCCGAUUAGCUUGUUGGCAGGGUAAAAGCCUACCAAGGCAAAGGUCGGUAGCCGGCCUGAGAGGGCACACGGCCACACUGGAACUGAUUCUCGGUCCAGACGACUACGGGAGGCA
RNAcentral lists this ribosomal RNA (316 nucleotides) under uncultured Acidobacteriota bacterium. RNAcentral's name for it is "bacterial SSU rRNA". It matches the Rfam family "Bacterial small subunit ribosomal RNA", at positions 20 to 350 of the family's 1533-position model. The record is from RNAcentral. Lineage: Bacteria; Pseudomonadati; Acidobacteriota.